UACACGCUGUGACUAGCAUAUCAAUAAGCGGAGGAAAAGAAACUAACAAGGAUUCCCCUAGUAACGGCGAGUGAAGCGGGAAGAGCUCAAAUUUGAAAUCUUAAAGGGUUUCCCUUUAUGAAUUGUAGUUUAAAGAAGUGUUUUCUGUUGAGGUUUUGGUAAAAGUUCUUUGGAAUAGGACAUCAUAGAGGGUGAGAAUCCCGUAUUUGACCUUUACUUUCAACUUUGUGAUACACUUUCAAAGAGUCGGAUUGUUUGGGAAUGCAGUCCAAAAUGGGUGGUAAAUUUCAUCUAAAGCUAAAUAUUGGCGAGAGACCGAUAGCGAACAAGUACCGUGAGGGAAAGAUGAAAAGAACUUUGAAAUGAGAGUUAAACAGUACGUGAAAUUGUCAAAAGGGAAGCGUUUGACACCAGUGUUGUUUUUCUGAAAAUCAAUUAAAGAACUGUUUAUGCUAAGCUUGUUUAGACUUUAUCAGCUAUCUGUUUAGUUUUGAGCUUUUCUUUAAUGCACUUUUCAGUUAACAAGUCAACAUCAAUUUCUUUUGCUGUAAAAAAGCUUGAGGAAGGUGGCUUGAGAUUCGUCUUAAGUGUUUAUAGCCUCUUGCCUAUGCAGUCGGAGAGAUUGAGGUCUGCAGCGUAGAUCCUUCGGGGCUAAAUGCAUUUGUGCUAAGUUAUAAGCAUUUUAUAGACAACUUGUUGACUAUGAUUUGUCUCGUAGCUUACUCGCUUAUGUUAUUUUACCUACGCUUAGGAUGUUGACGAGACUGUCGAUCUC
This 775-nucleotide ribosomal RNA is filed under the name uncultured Neocallimastigales. RNAcentral describes it as "partial large subunit ribosomal RNA". It matches the Rfam family "Eukaryotic large subunit ribosomal RNA", at positions 22 to 647 of the family's 3401-position model. The record is from RNAcentral. Lineage: Eukaryota; Fungi; Neocallimastigomycota; Neocallimastigomycetes; Neocallimastigales.